AGUCUUCUCCUCUCCUCCCCAUGACCCACAGGGUCUGUGUGAAGAGAGGCCGGGCUCUGGGACGUUCAGAGAGGAGGAUUCAGCGUUUUGUUGCUCUGGGACACAGCUUGGUCACUCCGGGAAACGAACACAACCUAGAGGCUGUCAUUUGUAGAAACAGCGAAUGGCCAAGGAAUGGCGGGAGGAGGGAAAAGGAAGACUUUUAAAGAAAAAAAAAAAAAGCCCUGAAAGACUGGACUAGAAAUCCUCAGGGAGGCUGGGCCUGCAAGGAGCCUUCCCGCGCCUCAGCCCACUUUCCUUCCCUCUCGACCUGACGGACUUAAGGCGUGCAGAGUCUCUUCGGACAAAAUGAAGCCAAGAGAGCCCUAAGCUUCUCCCCCAGCAACCGCUGCAGAGGCGGGAAAACUUGAAUUUUGCAACCAAGAGUUGCAGCGGGACGCCUAAGCAACGAUAAGGGGCGGUGGAGGGGCGUCGUUGGGGGCUGCAGCAUCCCAAAGUGGAAGCGGGAAGGGGGCCCGG
RNAcentral lists this long non-coding RNA (519 nucleotides) under Homo sapiens (human). RNAcentral's name for it is "HSALNT0401710". Lineage: Eukaryota; Metazoa; Chordata; Mammalia; Primates; Hominidae. The record is from RNAcentral.